GCAGCAGGACUGUAGCAAUACAGUUUGCUGGCGACCGGCAAACGGGUGCGGAACACGUACGCAAUCUACCCAAAACUGGUGAAUAGCCCUCCGAAAGGAGGAUUAAUACACCGUAACCUAUUGAAGUGGCAUCACUUUAUUAGUAUAGCUCCGGCGGUUUUGGAUGAGCGUGCGGCUGAUUAGGUAGUUGGCGGGGUAACGGCCCACCAAGCCUGCGAUCAGUAACUGGUGUGAGAGCACGACCAGUCACACGGGCACUGAGACACGGGCCCGACUCCUACGGGAGGCAGCAGUAAGGAAUAUUGGUCAAUGGACGCAAGUCUGAACCAGCCAUGCCGCGUGGAGGAUGAAGGCCCUCUGGGUUGUAAACUUCUUUUAUCUGGGACGAAACCCUCAUAUUCUUAUGAGACUGACGGUACCAGAGGAAUAAGCACCGGCUAACUCCGUGCCAGCAGCCGCGGUAAUACGGAGGGUGCAAGCGUUA
RNAcentral lists this ribosomal RNA (484 nucleotides) under uncultured bacterium. RNAcentral describes it as "bacterial SSU rRNA". It matches the Rfam family "Bacterial small subunit ribosomal RNA", at positions 66 to 543 of the family's 1533-position model. The record is from RNAcentral.